CACCUUGGGAGGCCAAGGCAGGCAGAUCAUC
This 31-nucleotide non-coding RNA is filed under the name Homo sapiens (human). Lineage: Eukaryota; Metazoa; Chordata; Mammalia; Primates; Hominidae. The record is from RNAcentral.